Molecule: long non-coding RNA, 604 nt
Organism: Triticum dicoccoides
Lineage: Eukaryota; Viridiplantae; Streptophyta; Magnoliopsida; Poales; Poaceae
Exons: 4
Source: RefSeq, a predicted model, not a curated record
AACGGCUCGUGAGUGUGGGGCUCGGUUCCCUCUCCUCCAGUUCUCCACCACGUGCGGUCCAGUCACUUGCCGCCGCCCCGACUCCACCGGAGCCCCAACUGCUGCCGCCGGAUACAUCUGGUCGGAGUACCAGUAGGUCCGCCGGAAACACCGAGUCCCGGUGCCUCUGGCCAUGGAGCAAGGGAGUCUGGUAAAGGAGCUAUUUUACCAAGGCAACGGGCCUCCGAGGCUCGGAGAGGCCAGGAUCCUCCUUCGAUCUAAGCAAACACAUUCCACCUUCCAGAUCAAGGUGAUUGUGUUGAUUCUGCUGCCUUUUCCAAGCCAUGGAGUCAUGCCCGAGGAAAGAGUCAGCAGAACAGGAACGUGUACCUGUACUUCUACUAAAAAUUAACGACACUGCUCCUCAAAGAAAGACGGUUAUUAUACUACUGCACAACUCUUACAAAUGCAAGGAAUGGUUGUGUCCACUGCUUCAGGCACUGAACUCAUCUUGGAGGAGUGGGAAAACUAUACCUUUCAUUUUUACACGGUACCAUACAUUACUUCCACUUGUUAAAAUUGUUGGAAAUAUGCCCUAGAGGCAAUAAUAAAAGCAUUAUUAUUA